AUACAAUGUCAAAAAACUAUUAAACCUAAAAAGCUCAAGCUUUUAGGUGUGAGUCGCAACACAAGAAUUAUUUUAUAUCUCUUGUAGUUGCUGUUGCUCUCUGUUAUAAAUGUAGGCAGCCCUUACCAAAACUCAGUUUUAAAAUCUUUAUAAACUAAGAUGUUAAAAAUCAGGUUGAAACAAAUUGUGAAUUGAUUAAUAUAAUUGGCUAAGCUAAAUAUUGAUUAAUAGAUAUUUGCAGUUUUUCGUGAAAAGACUGAACCAAGGGAUUAGUUUGGUCUUUCAAAGGGGCAUAUGGUUUAGUUAAUAAUCG
This 313-nucleotide unclassified non-coding RNA is filed under the name Hevea brasiliensis (rubber tree). Lineage: Eukaryota; Viridiplantae; Streptophyta; Magnoliopsida; Malpighiales; Euphorbiaceae. The record is from RNAcentral.